AGAAAAAAAGAAGGGGAUCUUAUUAGUCGCCUGUCUUUCAAAAACAUGUCCUGUUGUCUUAUUUAAUAGGUCUGGCCUGCCCAGUGAUAAUUUUAACGGCCGCGGUAUAUUGACCGUGCAAAGGUAGCAUAAUCAUUAGUCUUUUAAUAGAAGGCUGGAAUGAAAGGUUUAACGAGAAAUUAGCUGUCUCAAUUACAAACUUGAACUUGUCUUUUGAGUCAAAAGACUUAAAUAUAAUUGGUGGACGAGAAGACCCUAUAGAGCUUGACAAUUUUUUCCUUGUAUAUAUUUAGUGACAUUAUUUAUUUAGAUUUAAAAAAUUGUUUUGUUGGGGUGACAAUAAAUAUAUAUUUAACUUUUAUCAUGAUAUAUACAUUAAUUUAUGAUUUUUGGAUCCAAAAUUUUUGAUCAAUAGAAUAAGUUACCUUAGGGAUAACAGCGUAAUCUUCCCUCAGAGUUCAUAUUUACGGGAAGGGUUGCGACCUCGAUGUUGGAUUAAGAUAAUAAUUAGGUGCAGUAGCUUAAUUAAUAGGUCUGUUCGACCUUAAAUCUACAUAAUCAUACGGGCCC
Molecule: ribosomal RNA, 570 nt
Filed under: Ischnura forcipata
Lineage: Eukaryota; Metazoa; Arthropoda; Insecta; Odonata; Coenagrionidae
Description: partial large subunit ribosomal RNA
Rfam family: Bacterial large subunit ribosomal RNA
Source: RNAcentral